This 207-nucleotide ribosomal RNA is filed under the name uncultured bacterium. RNAcentral describes it as "partial 16S ribosomal RNA". It matches the Rfam family "Bacterial small subunit ribosomal RNA", at positions 568 to 774 of the family's 1533-position model. The record is from RNAcentral.
AGCGCAGGCGGUUUUUUAAGUCUGAUGUGAAAGCCUUCGGCUUAACCGAAGAAGCGCAUCGGAAACUGGGAAACUUGAGUGCAGAAGAGGACAGUGGAACUCCAUGUGUAGCGGUGAAAUGCGUAGAUAUAUGGAAGAACACCAGUGGCGAAGGCGGCUGUCUGGUCUGUAACUGACGCUGAGGCUCGAAAGCAUGGGUAGCGAACA